This 496-nucleotide ribosomal RNA is filed under the name uncultured bacterium. RNAcentral describes it as "partial 16S ribosomal RNA". It matches the Rfam family "Bacterial small subunit ribosomal RNA", at positions 28 to 506 of the family's 1533-position model. The record is from RNAcentral.
GAUGAACGCUGGCGGCGUGCCUAAUACAUGCAAGUCGAGCGAACGGACGAGAAGCUUGCUUCUCUGAUGUUAGCGGCGGACGGGUGAGUAACACGUGGAUAACCUACCUAUAAGACUGGGAUAACUUCGGGAAACCGGAGCUAAUACCGGAUAAUAUUUUGAACCGCAUGGUUCAAAAGUGAAAGACGGUCUUGCUGUCACUUAUAGAUGGAUCCGCGCUGCAUUAGCUAGUUGGUAAGGUAACGGCUUACCAAGGCAACGAUGCAUAGCCGACCUGAGAGGGUGAUCGGCCACACUGGAACUGAGACACGGUCCAGACUCCUACGGGAGGCAGCAGUAGGGAAUCUUCCGCAAUGGGCGAAAGCCUGACGGAGCAACGCCGCGUGAGUGAUGAAGGUCUUCGGAUCGUAAAACUCUGUUAUUAGGGAAGAACAUAUGUGUAAGUAACUGUGCACAUCUUGACGGUACCUAAGCAGAAAACCACGGCUAACUACGU